GGCAGCAUGGUGUAGUGGUUUAAGCAUUAGACUAUGGCUCUAGAGACCAGGGUUUGAAUUCUUGCUCAGCCA
Phrynosoma platyrhinos (Desert horned lizard) is the source of this 72-nucleotide non-coding RNA. Lineage: Eukaryota; Metazoa; Chordata; Lepidosauria; Squamata; Phrynosomatidae. The record is from the annotation of a GenBank genome assembly.